ACCCGCACAAGCGGUGGAUGAUGUGGUUUAAUUCGAUGCAACGCGAAGAACCUUACCUGGGCUUGACAUCCCGGGAAUCCCCUGGAACAGGGAGUGCCUUCGGGAACCCGGUGACAGGUGCUGCAUGGCUGUCGUCAGCUCGUGUCGUGAGAUGUUGGGUUAAGUCCCGCAACGAGCGCAACCCUUGUCUUUAGUUGCCAUCAUUAAGUUGGGCACUCUAAAGAGACUGCCGGUGUCAAACCGGAGGAAGGUGGGGAUGACGUCAAGUCCUCAUGGCCUUUAUGACCAGGGCUACACACGUACUACAAUGGCAGGUACAAAGGGCAGCCACUUAGCGAUAAGGAGCGAAUCCCAUAAAACCUGUCUCAGUCCGGAUUGGAGUCUGCAACUCGACUCCAUGAAGUUGGAAUCGCUAGUAAUCGCAGAUCAGCACGCUGCGGUGAAUACGUUCCCGGGCCUU
RNAcentral lists this ribosomal RNA (460 nucleotides) under uncultured Desulfocapsa sp. RNAcentral's name for it is "bacterial SSU rRNA". It matches the Rfam family "Bacterial small subunit ribosomal RNA", at positions 919 to 1382 of the family's 1533-position model. The record is from RNAcentral. Lineage: Bacteria; Pseudomonadati; Thermodesulfobacteriota; Desulfobulbia; Desulfobulbales; Desulfocapsaceae.